This is a long non-coding RNA of Lemur catta (Ring-tailed lemur), 3065 nucleotides long. RefSeq lists it as uncharacterized. The transcript is spliced from 4 exons. NCBI's taxonomy places the organism in Eukaryota, Metazoa, Chordata, Mammalia, Primates, Lemuridae. The record is from RefSeq and is a predicted model, not a curated record.
ACCACCCAGCCUCCACAACUGUGAGAAAUAAAUGUUUGUGGUUUAAGCCACUCAGUCUAUGAUAUUUUGAUAUAGCAGCUUCACUAAGGCAUCACCCAUGUCAAUGCUUUAGCAAUGAAUUCACCACAUGAUUGCUUUGUAGAAUAAUCGGUUAACUACAGGUACCAGUCAGAAAAUUAAGUCAAACACUUCCACGCAGAGCAUAUGCUGAUGGAGACUUACCUGGGCUCCAGGAAAAUGUUAAGAAGAAUAACAACUUAAGUUUCUACUAUGUGCUAACACUGCACUAAAGGCUUUAGAGAGCAUCGACCUUCAAGUCAGGAGACUUCAAAAGCUGCAAUUAAAAUAAUUGUGUGUCUUAAAAUAAAUGGCAUCUUACAAAGAGGAGAUAUGAAGUAAUGAUAAGAAGUCUGGCCAGAAGAAUGGCCCAGCGCUCACAUUCCCCGGCAUGUCGUCCUGCUGAUGAGUUUCUCACUGGGAGAGCACCAGAUAAUGGCAUUGCAGGGACAGGGGUGAAACCUGCAGGAACAUGCCUUCGCUGCGCCUUCUCCGGCUCACGCUCCGUCCAGUGCUGAAAGCCAUCAGGGAUGAAGUGCAGCUGCACACGCACCCCGCGCUCACACCCCGCUCCGGUGGUACUUCCUGAAGAAACUGGAGGAAGGAUGUUACAGAAUGAAGGAGAAAGGCCCCAACAUGAAGAUGUGCUCCUGGAAAGACAGAAAACCUUCCUUUCCUUCUGGUUCCCAAGGAGGGCACGGUGGGCUGAGUGGUAUCUACAAGGACAUGACCACCUCCCAAUCCCUGACUCCUGUGACUGUCACCUUAUUUGGGAAAAAGGUCUUUGCAGACGUGAUUAAGGAUCUUGAGAAGAGGUGAUCACCCUGCAUUAUCCGGGUGAGCGCUACAUGCCUUCAUGUAGCCUUGACGAGUGAGACAGAGGGAAAUUAGACAGAUACCCGGAAAGAAGAAGCUGCCAGAAGCUGCAAGAGACAAGGAAGGAUUCUCCCCUGGGGCCUGUGGAGGGGUGCGGCCCUGCCAACGCCUAGAUUUCAGACUUCUCCAGAACUGGGAGAGACUAGGUUUCUGUUGUUUUAAGCCACUAAGUUUAUGGUAAUUUGUUACAGCCGCCGCUGGAAAGGAAUACAGGGGGUCGUGGGGAGAAGUUGCCCAGUGGCAGAAACUACUCCGAGUGUCCUGACUCCUUAGGUCCAGGAGUGGGUCCACUUGCCAGAACCAGGAAGGCCGUGCUGUGGAUCGACACCCGCUCAUGCAGUUUCAGGCGGUGGGGAGACCACACAGCGCAUGCUCUGCACGGAGGUGCUUGCCUGGAACAGGAGCCAACAGAGAGAGGUGAGAGCAACGCUCCUGCAGAUAAGGACACACGAAUGUAAAACUGUAGACGUGUAUCUAGGAUCUCAUCAAACCCCCAACAACGUGUGAGUUGGAAGUUGAAGAUCAGAGGAAAUUGAAGGUCACACAUGAGAGGAGUUGGUCAGACCUGGGUUCAAAUCCCAGCCCCACCACUUGGUUGCUGUGUGGCUCAUCCUCCCUGACUCCAGUUUCCUUGUCUAUGAAAUAGAAAUUCUAAAACCUACCUUACAAGCUUGUGGGUGUAAAGUUUAAAGCGCUUCACAGAGUACUUGGCUUCCUGAAGGGGUUUGGAAAAUGGCUACUGUAGUUAUUGCCCAAGAUUGCAGGGCUGGUGAGACAGGCCUGUCUGACUUGGGAGCUAUGAUCCUUCUAGAGCCCAAGGCUGAGAAGCUGACUCAUGGUGCAGGGGUCAAGCUCUCUCUGUGAAGGUGCUCGUUUCAGCUGCCACACAGCCCUGGGUUGUGCAGGAAAUUGCCCGCCAUGCACAAGCACGUACUUCUCUGUGCUCUCCUCAGAUCACAAGGGCUAGAAACCUGUAAACUACAUUUCUCAGACUCCUCUGCCCCGGAGGUGGGGAUGGGGGAUGGGGAUGGAUUCCAGUUCAGAUUCUGCCCAUGGGAGGUAUUUGCUUGAGAGCAGGGGGCAGGUAGAGAGAUUCUUUUUCUGGCUGUAGCAAUCUAAUGCCAACCCCUGCACAGACGGUGAUGGGAGCAGUGGGCUCCUCUGGGGUGGGGACUGAUGACAGCUGGCUUAUGAAGCAGCUGAGUAGGCAGCAGGGACACAGAGUCCUGUAGGCUCAGAGGGAAGUGAGCUCCUAUAAGGGCCGGUGGCAUAGACUGCAAGGCCUGAUCUCUAGGGAGCAACUCCUCCACUCCCAUUUUUGUUGCCUUUCCUCACAACAGUUUGGGAGCUUCACUCCCUAUAUUAAAUCCCUCUUUGCUUGAAAUACUUGCAGUGACUUUCGUUUUCCUAACUGCAUCCACCAGCACAUCAGCCCUCUGCAGAGGCACAGGGUGCAUAGCAUAGAGACUUCAGGGGCCCUGGAAGGCCAUCUUCACCAGGAAAUACAAUCUCACAUUUUUCAACUAGAGAUAAGACUUAAAAUGAAAACACACCAAAGAAAACUAUCAUAUUGGCUCAAAUACUUACAGAGGAUUACUGAUUGUAUCAGACCCUAUCCUUACAGAAAGUUUUUUUUUGGUAAAUGAGGAAAAAGAGUGCAAAAGGCACUAGGGUGGGGAGAGGAAGCUGAGAUGAGAGACAGAGAAAAGAGAGAGCAUCCCUCAGAGUGAGCAGAAGAUACCAGUAGGAGAAAAGUGCAUGUUAGCCCAGGCAGCUCUGACUAUAACUUGACUUUUCUUAAUUUUUUUAAAUUGCAUUAAAAUGUACAUAACAUGGAAUUUGCCAUUUUGACCAUUUUGAAGUGUACAGCUCAGUAGCAGUGAGUGCAUUUACAUUGUUGUGCAACCAUCACCACCAUCCAUCCCCAGAACUCUUACAUCUUCCCAAACUGAAACUCUGCACUCUUUAUACAAUAACUCCCCAUGUCCCCCUCCCCUGACCACCACCAUUCUACUGUCUAUCUCUAUGAAUUUGACUAGUCUAGGAAUCUCAUAUAGGUGGACUCAUACAAUAUUUGUCCUUUUGUGUCUGGCUUCUGUCACUUAGCAUAAUGUCUUCAAGGUUCUUCCAUG